AUUGAACGCUGGCGGCAGGCCUAACACAUGCAAGUCGAACGGUAACAGGAAGCAGCUUGCUGCUUCGCUGACGAGUGGCGGACGGGUGAGUAAUGUCUGGGAAGCUGCCUGAUGGAGGGGGAUAACUACUGGAAACGGUAGCUAAUACCGCAUAAUGUCGCAAGACCAAAGAGGGGGACCUUCUGGCCUCUUGCCAUCGGAUGUGCCCAGAUGGGAUUAGCUUGUUGGUGGGGUAACGGCUCACCAAGGCGACGAUCCCUAGCUGGUCUGAGAGGAUGACCAGCCACACUGGAACUGAGACACGGUCAAGACUCCUACGGGAGGCAGCAGUGGGGAAUAUUGCACAAUGGGCGCAAGCCUGAUGCAGCCAUGCCGCGUGUAUGAAGAAGGCCUUCGGGUUGUAAAGUACUUUCAGCGGGGAGGAAGGGAGUAAAGUUAAUACCUUUGCUCAUUGACGUUACCCGCAGAAGAAGCACCGGCUAACUCCGUG
This 490-nucleotide ribosomal RNA is filed under the name uncultured bacterium. RNAcentral's name for it is "partial 16S ribosomal RNA". It matches the Rfam family "Bacterial small subunit ribosomal RNA", at positions 30 to 507 of the family's 1533-position model. The record is from RNAcentral.